GAUGAACGCUAGCGGUGUGCCUAAUGCAUGCAAGUCGAACGGGAUCCUUUGGACUCGUCUGAAGGUGAGAGUGGCGAACGGGUGAGUAUCGCGUUGGUGACCUGCCCCAGAGAGGGGGACAACCAGUGGAAACGCUGGCUAAUACCCCGGAUGUCUUUGUGCUUAGAAAGCAAAGACUAAAAGCUCCGGCGCUCUGGGAGGGGCCUGCGUCCCAUCAGCUAGUUGGUAGGGUAAUGGCUUACCAAGGCAAAGACGGGUAGGGGGCGUGAGAGCGUGGCCCCCCACACUGGUACUGAAACACGGACCAGAUACCUACGGGUAGCAGCAGCAAGGAAUAUUGCCCAAUGGACGAAAGUCUGAGGCAGCAACACCGCGUGGAGGACGAAGGCUUUCGGGUCGUAAACUCCUUUUCUAGGGGAAGAGAAAGGACGGUACCCUAGGAAUAAGGCCCGGCUAACUACGUG
This 464-nucleotide ribosomal RNA is filed under the name uncultured bacterium. RNAcentral's name for it is "bacterial SSU rRNA". It matches the Rfam family "Bacterial small subunit ribosomal RNA", at positions 28 to 507 of the family's 1533-position model. The record is from RNAcentral.